AUGCUCGCUUCAGUAGCACAUAUACUAAAAUUGGAUGAUACAGAGAAGAUUAGCGUGGCCCCUGCACAAGGAUGACAUGCAAAUUCAUAAAGUGUUCCAUAUUUUU
Molecule: small nuclear RNA, 106 nt
Filed under: Myotis brandtii (Brandt's bat)
Lineage: Eukaryota; Metazoa; Chordata; Mammalia; Chiroptera; Vespertilionidae
Source: RNAcentral